UCGGCAAUAGACGAAAGUCUGACCGAGCAACGCCGCGUGUGCGAUGAAGGCCUUCGGGUUGUAAAGCACUGUCGAGGGGAAACAAGCCGUAAGGUUGAGUGACCCCUGGAGGAAGCACGGGCUAAGUUCGUGCCAGCAGCCGCGGUAAGACGGACCGUGCAAACGUUAUUCGGAAUCACUGGGCUUAAAGGGCGCGUAGGCGGGUGAUCAAGUCAAUGGUGAAAUCCUCCAGCUUAACUGGAGAAGUGCCUUUGAUACUGAUUGUCUAGAGGGAGGUAGGGGCACGUGGAACUUCAGGUGGAGCGGUGAAAUGCGUAGAUAUCUGAAGGAACGCCAGUGGCGAAAGCGGUGUGCUGGAUCUUUUCUGACGCUGAGGCACGAAAGCUAGGGUAGCGAACGGGAUUAGAUACCCCGGUAGUCCUAGCCCUAAACGAUGAGUACUAGAUUGUGGACUGACAUGGGUUCACAGUCGAAGCAAAAGUAUUAAGUACUCCGCCUGGGGAGUAUGGUCGCAAGGCUGAAACUCAAAGGA
RNAcentral lists this ribosomal RNA (532 nucleotides) under uncultured bacterium. RNAcentral describes it as "bacterial SSU rRNA". It matches the Rfam family "Bacterial small subunit ribosomal RNA", at positions 365 to 908 of the family's 1533-position model. The record is from RNAcentral.